UGCCCUUUAGCCAAGUUGGUAAGGCAGUGGCUUCUGGUGCCAUGACGCGCUGGUUCGAGUCCAGCAAGGGCAA
RNAcentral lists this transfer RNA (73 nucleotides) under Oenococcus alcoholitolerans. Its description in RNAcentral is "tRNA-Gln". It matches the Rfam family "tRNA". Rfam says of the family: Transfer RNA (tRNA) molecules are approximately 80 nucleotides in length. Their secondary structure includes four short double-helical elements and three loops (D, anti-codon, and T loops). Lineage: Bacteria; Bacillati; Bacillota; Bacilli; Lactobacillales; Lactobacillaceae. The record is from RNAcentral.